UUGAAAAGAACUUUGAAGAGAGAGUUCAAGAGUACGUGAAACCGUUCAGGGGUAAACCUAAGAAACCCAAAAGAUCGAACGGGGAGAUUCAUCGUCAGCGACGCUGGCUUCGCGUCGGUGGGCGAUGUCCCGCGGCUUGUCGCGCGGGCACGCUACCGUGCGCGCACGACCGGCGUCGUCGUCGUGCACUUCUCCCCUAGUAGAACGUCGCGACCCGCUGGGUGUCGGUCUACGGCCCGGGUGCGGUGGCUGUCGCGUCGCCGGUAAAACGGCACGCGGCAAACCCCCGGACGCCCGGCCGGCUGCCCGGCGGUACUCGCACGGUGUCAGGCCGCAGCCACAAAACUUCUCGGAGUCUGCGUCAAGCCCGUCGCAAGCGCGCGCCACGGUUACUCGGAGGCACGGACCUAGCGCCGUCCCCGGUCCUGGCCCGCUGUUGGCCGACGGUGAUCCUUUGACAGGCCUUACGGGGCGCGAGGCGGGCGGCGUUCGCGCCGUUCCGCGUCCGCCCUAACACCGGUCGGCGACGCUACUGCUUUGGGUACUCUUAGGACCCGUCUUGAAACACGGACCAAGGAGUCUAACAUGUGCGCGAGUCAUUGGGACUAGCAAAACCCAAAGGCGCAAUGAAAGUGAAGGUCGGCCCUGGCGCCGACCGAGGGAGGAUGGGCCGCGUCGCGAUGCGGCCUCGCACUCCCGGGGCGUCUCGUUCUCAUCGCGAGAAGAGGCGCACCAAGAGCGUACACGUUGGGACCCGAAAGAUGGUGAACUAUGCCUGGUCAGGACGAAGUCAGGGGAAACCCUGAUGGAGGUCCGUAGCGAUUCUGACGUGCAAAUCGAUCGUCGGAACUGGGUAUAGGGGCGAAAGACUAAUCGAACCAUCUAGUAGCUGGUUCCCUCCGAAGUUUCCCUCAGGAUAGCUGGCACUCGGCCGUUCCACGGAACGCGCGCGAGUCUCAUCUGGUAAAGCGAAUGAUUAGAGGCCUUGGGGCCGAAACGACCUCAACCUAUUCUCAAACUUUAAAUGGGUGAGAUCUCUGGCUUUCUUGAACGUUGAAGCCACGAGAAUCUCGGAUCAGAGUGCCAAGUGGGCCAUUUUUGGUAAGCAGAACUGGCGCUGUGGGAUGAACCAAACGCAGAGUUAAGGCGCCUAACUCGACGCUCAUGGGACACCAUGAAAGGCGUUGGUUGCUUAAGACAGCAGGACGGUGGCCAUGGAAGUCGGAAUCCGCUAAGGAGUGUGUAACAACUCACCUGCCGAAGCAACUAGCCCUGAAAAUGGAUGGCGCUGAAGCGUCGAGCCUAUACUCUGCCGUCAGCGGCAAGUGGGGCGGGGUGGCGCGAGCCGGCCCCGUCACGAAGCCCUGACGAGUAGGAGGGUCGCGGCGGUGUGCGCAGAAGGGUCU
RNAcentral lists this ribosomal RNA (1406 nucleotides) under Euponera pilosior. RNAcentral describes it as "partial 28S ribosomal RNA". It matches the Rfam family "Eukaryotic large subunit ribosomal RNA", at positions 364 to 1413 of the family's 3401-position model. The record is from RNAcentral. Lineage: Eukaryota; Metazoa; Arthropoda; Insecta; Hymenoptera; Formicidae.